GUGCCUAUAGCCUAGAGGCUAAGGUGCUUGACUGGGGAUCAAAAGUUUGGCGGGUCAAACCCAAGUGUAGUCACA
Non-coding RNA from Albula glossodonta (roundjaw bonefish), 75 nucleotides. The record is from the annotation of a GenBank genome assembly. Lineage: Eukaryota; Metazoa; Chordata; Actinopteri; Albuliformes; Albulidae.